Dromaius novaehollandiae (emu) is the source of this 3492-nucleotide long non-coding RNA. RefSeq lists it as uncharacterized. The transcript has 4 exons. Lineage: Eukaryota; Metazoa; Chordata; Aves; Casuariiformes; Dromaiidae. The record is from RefSeq and is a predicted model, not a curated record.
CCUGUGGAGGGCGCCAUGCUGCUGUCGCCGCGGGGGCGGGCACUAGGCGGCCCCGGCAGCCCGGCUUCGUCGGGCGGUCCUGACUUCUCGCACCGUCCUGCCCGGCCGUCCGUGCCUGUCUGUGAGUCGCGUGGAAAGAGUGCUCUCCACCUCUGUAGCAUUGCCUAAGUUGCGAAGAGGAAUAUUGGAUGCAUCGUCAAAGUUGUGACCACAGAGCGGGCAAGAGAGCAUCGGAUACCAGCAAAGAGGGACACUCAGAUCAUGAGGGGUUAAACAGGAUAGACUUAAUAAAGGACUUAACACUCCAAGCCGCACAGGAAGCCCCAGGAACCACACAGAGGGGUUGCCAAUGGGAGGCUGCUGGAAGCACGAGUCUCAGGGGUCGGAAUGAAGUUUUGCCUGAAUUUACAGGCAAUCCUGUGAUCUCCCGUUGAGGUGCAGUCAACAGACACACGGAUGGAAGAAUAGACUUCCUGGUAUCUAAUAAGGACGGAUCUCAAAACUACUGGGGACAAAAAGAUGCUGUACUAUUUUUUGCUAAAUGCCUGCAUCCCAUCCCAUCCCCUCCUGAAGUAUAAAAUUUUCCUCAAGGCUCUUUACUGGUUUCAAGGCUCCUUAUGGCAGUGGAGCAGUACAAAGGAAUCACAGCUGAAUGGAGAAUCAAAAUUAAAAGGACAUGAGACUGAUACUGAACCGCGCUAUUUACUGAAAAUUUGGCCAAGGAGAGAAACACAAAACUGCUAAUUAUAGUGAUAUUACAACCAAGAAGGCAGUUUUUAUCCCAUGCCUGGAAGAUUAACUGUGUUCUAAUUUCCAAGCAGGGGCAAAGUUUCACAGCAAAGGUCUUCAGUUGAAAACAUUUGCCAGUAAUGAUCUCCCACUUCCUUCAAGAUGGGUUCAAUACAAACACUACUGCAGUAAUCUUUAAAGCGGGAGACUGUGACCCAUUUCUUUGAUUAAAGUUUUGAUUUGCAGGUCUUUCACCAGUUCCCAAAAUCCAGUCUGAAAACAUAUGCCUGCAGACAUCAUAAUUUAGACCCAGCUUCAUUAAAGACAAAAUCAAACAGCUUGGUUUUCUUUGGCUACCUCAAAGCUGUAGAAAGUCACACUGUCCUCUCUGUUCACUACAUCCAAAACUCCCUUUUGGUUUCAAAAUUUAUUAUCCAAAUGCAGGACACAUGAUUACUAGAACCUUGAUCUCCAAACACAGAACCCUGUUGCUCUAAAGACAUUUUUCUAUGAACUCUGAAAACAAACGACCCCCCUGUUCUCUGCCUGCCAACUGUCUGAGGCUAUGUCUACAUUAGCAAAUUGUGUGGUGCAGUCAGAAUGAAUCCACAGAUGGAAAAUGGUUGGUGGUGAUGAUCCAACAUUGGCAUUAGACAUACUUCAGCUUUUGCCUGGUCCCCUGGACUGAAUGUCCAGUAGCGGUAAAGCACAUUUAGAACCGAGAACACUCAGUCCUCAAGCACAUUGUUUGGUUUAGUUUCAUCCAAACAGAAUCUAGUUCAUACACUCUGAGACCACUCUGUGAUGCAAACCACAGCACAGUAAGUGGGAAAAAUCAGGAGAAUCACUUCAAAAGCGCACUUCUGAUCUGAAAUAAGUCAUUAACGUCAACACAUCUUGUGUGAGCCUACAUCUGUCUAGGCUUAGCCAGCUAGAGGUAGGUUUUAAGGACAACGUCAAAAAAAUGAGCAAAUUCUGAUGCGCUCAAGUCAGAGGGCUGAUGUAACUACAGUGUGUCUACAUUGUAUCUACAAUGUGUCACCGAUGUGACUACAAGUGUCAGCACUCCCCACUAGCAGAAUAAUUUUUUUCACCUUGGAUGAACUAGCUUUAAAUUUCAGGUGUAUUUUUUUUUAACUUACUUGUCAGAAGGAUGUGAAAAAGGUGGAACCAGUCAGUCAAAUGUUACUAGCAUGAGUUGUACCAAGCAACACCAACCAAUCUAACUGGUGAUUAAAACCUGUUUCAGGGUGCAGUUCAGCCUGUGGAAAUGAAAUCUUUAAAAAAAACACCUAAAGAUAAAGCCUAGGAAAAAAAUAUCCUUUUCUGUUAUUCUGUGACUAUCCUGAAAUGCACACAUGAAAUACAAAAUCAUGGCAGUGGUGUUGCAUUUGAGAUUUUGCCUAUGGAAGACUGAUGUUUCCCCAGGCAUUUAUUUUUGCAUUUGUAACCCAGUUAGGGAAAUGGCAUGCAAGGAAGAAACCUUUCAAAAAGCUUCAUGAACAGAAAAUACUUACUGUAUAUGCAGACCACUAUGUUUUAUUGCAGAUGUUUAGCGAGUACUGCAGGCAAGGCAGAAGCAUGAAACAACCGAGGUCCUUCUAGCUUCUAUAAUUUUUUAAUUCGUGGCUUUACCAGAGAUUGAUGGAAGAUUUAUAAGAGGCUCGCAGCUUGUAAAUAAUGAAGAAAUUCAGCCACCAGGGGUUUUGCUGUUGUUAUUCUCCCCACACACUAUCAUAUUCUACAAAGAACAGUUAUGGCGUUUUGAUGGAACUGGAAGGAGAAAUGGGAUUCUUCUGAUAAAGGCCAAGUGAGAGUUCCACAGAAAGCAGAGGUACAGCACAUCCUGAAUAAACAGCUGAGAGAAGUAUGAUGAGUACUCACUCCUACAGAGACUUCUGAGUUACUGAAUUGAAUCCUGAACCCAAAAUUUCCUAAGUUUGCAUGUAAACUUUAUACAGAAAAGAUUCCAGCUGUUGCUGAAAUGUAAGAAAAUACAUUAGAUAUCUCCAGAAGAAACUCCAGCCUAUCUCAAAGCUCUGCAGCUAAAAUUACUCUGAAUAAAGGUUAUGCCAUCCUUCCUCCUUAUGAUGUCAUAUAUAGCCAUAUGUGAUACCUGUCUUUCUAACAUACAUGUUUACAGGCACUAAGUGAUGAUUAAUUAAGGUUGGCUGUGUUCCUCGUGUAUUUUUAUUUGGUUGAAUUAUACACUGUAUACAUGAUGGUGAUGACUUUAAAGAUGAUUAAAACAUUUCAUUAGCUAAACAAGAGAUACCCUUUCACUGUGGAAGCAUUCUGCAAAAGAGAUAACAAUUGCCAUGAGGCUUACUGAAGUCUAUGUAAGAGUUUUUCUAUUGUUCAUACUGGACUAUCAGAUAUAGACAGCAUAUUAAAAGAGAAAAUCAUAAAAACCAAUUCCAGUAUUUCUUCUAAGAAAUCAUUUAUUUUGUUGGUAAGAAAUAGCAAAAUGCAGACAUGACUGCUACAGAGCAAUAAAAAGUGUGCCAACAAAAAACCUCUCAUGAUUGUGACAGUAGAUUAUUUAAUCUGAAAUGUGUGACUCUUUUACCUAUAACUUGGAGAAUAAAGGUUUUAUAUAUUUCAAAAAACACAUAUUAGCUCCUCUUUUAAUGGAGAAAAUAGUUAAAGACUUUGAUAAAAAGGACACAUCUUUGUGGCCUCUCAUAAUUGGAAUGUAAUAUUUAGCAUAGUUAUGUUAAUAUAGGUUUACAAGGGGAAUAUUCUAGUACAUAUCUGAAUAAA